This 361-nucleotide ribosomal RNA is filed under the name Escherichia coli. RNAcentral's name for it is "bacterial SSU rRNA". It matches the Rfam family "Bacterial small subunit ribosomal RNA", at positions 1166 to 1526 of the family's 1533-position model. The record is from RNAcentral. Lineage: Bacteria; Pseudomonadati; Pseudomonadota; Gammaproteobacteria; Enterobacterales; Enterobacteriaceae.
GAGGAAGGUGGGGAUGACGUCAAGUCAUCAUGGCCCUUACGACCAGGGCUACACACGUGCUACAAUGGCGCAUACAAAGAGAAGCGACCUCGCGAGAGCAAGCGGACCUCAUAAAGUGCGUCGUAGUCCGGAUUGGAGUCUGCAACUCGACUCCAUGAAGUCGGAAUCGCUAGUAAUCGUGGAUCAGAAUGCCACGGUGAAUACGUUCCCGGGCCUUGUACACACCGCCCGUCACACCAUGGGAGUGGGUUGCAAAAGAAGUAGGUAGCUUAACCUUCGGGAGGGCGCUUACCACUUUGUGAUUCAUGACUGGGGUGAAGUCGUAACAAGGUAACCGUAGGGGAACCUGCGGUUGGAUCAC